Suncus etruscus (white-toothed pygmy shrew) is the source of this 106-nucleotide small nuclear RNA. Lineage: Eukaryota; Metazoa; Chordata; Mammalia; Eulipotyphla; Soricidae. The record is from RefSeq and is a predicted model, not a curated record.
GUACUCGCUUCUGCAGCACAUAUAUUAAAUUGGAAUGAUACAGAGACGAUUACCAUGGCCCCUGCGCAAGGAUGACAUGCAAAUUCGUGAAGCAUUCCAUAUUUAA